Molecule: ribosomal RNA, 292 nt
Filed under: uncultured bacterium
Lineage: Bacteria
Description: partial 16S ribosomal RNA
Rfam family: Bacterial small subunit ribosomal RNA
Source: RNAcentral
GUGCCAGCCGCCGCGGUAAUACGUAGGUGGCGAGCGUUAUCCGGAAUUACUGGGCGUAAAGCGCAAGCAGGCGGCUCAUUAAGUUUGACGUGAAAUCUCCCGGCUUAACCGGGAGGGGCCGUUGAAAACUGAUAAGCUUGAGGCGAUGAGAGGGGUGUGGAAUUCCCGGUGUAGUGGUGGAAUGCGUAGAUAUCGGGAGGAACACCAGAGGCGAAAGCGACACCCUGGCAUUUGCCUGACGCUGAGAUGCGAAAGCGUGGGGAGCAAACGGGAUUAGAUACCCUGGUAGUCC